GCAAUGUUAAUUGAUAUAAAAACAAUUAAGACAUGUAAUAAUUAAUAGAAGUGCCAAAAUUCAUGGUAAAAAAACAUGUUUGAGAUAAAAAUCAUUUUCGUGUGCAUUAUCAAGACUUGUCUUUCCACAGAAUAUAUCACAAUAUAAUAAAAUUAACUCAUGAUACACACCUUUACUUUUAGCUGGUGCUCACGUUCAAGUUCAAACAAAAUGCCUUCCUCAAUGCUUCUUUUGUACAACAAAUGGGAUUCAGUUGCUUCAGUAUGCAUUUCAUCAUCAGACUCUUCAGACUCACUGAAAUGGGAAAAUCAGUAUAUAUUUUAAAGGAAAGAUAAAACCUAUAUGCAAGAUGCAGACAGAGUAACAAGAUGCAACACAUCAAAAGAUAUGAUCAAAAGGCUUUUUAUUUUGUAGAUAUAAUUUCAUGAUAUAUGUUCCAAGAUAUAGUAGGAAAAAGCAAGUAAAAUCUACAGAAAAUAUCCAAAUAUCAUUACAGAUAUACACAAUAUUUGCAUUAUAAAUUUAACUACAUCACAGGCAUAAGCUCCACCAAUGGCAAAUAAUGAGUAUUAGAAUGUAAAAUUGUAGAAGUCAUAAAAGAUAACUCAAAGGUUUGCUCCCAUGAUCUACUCUUUUAUACAUCAGAAGUUCAUAUUUAUGCGCUCACAAGAUGCCCAUGGCUAUGUUGGCUAACUCUACAAUUGCAAUUGCAAUUUUACUAGCACUCAUUGCAUAACACACUACUUGUUAAACCUGCGAUAUGCCACCAUGUUAUCACAGGUGAGGCCACCAACCACAUAAGUUCACCUAAUUUUUUUCAUAUGUACAAAUCCUUUACAAUAAUCUAGUCUGCCAUGCAUCCCCAUGGUUUAUCAUGUGUCACCUGUAAUCUUUUACAAAUUAUUUUGGAUUUCUGAGAAGCUAAAUCUUGAUAUUCUUGCCAUAAUUCUAGAAAAUUCUUGAUAGCAUAUAAGAUAAUUCUCACUAGCAAACCAUUCUCCACCAUCAUACAUGCAAUUGAAAUUCACUAAGAUACCAGAGUUAGUAUUCCAUAUAAAAUCAUAUGCCAAAGAUAAUCAUCAUGAUGUUCGAAACAUCUCCUUCUACAUUGAUAGAAGAAAAGAAGCAACUUAUACCACAAGACUGCAAGAGAGCUCGAUAGGUCAACUUACACUUCAUGAAUCAUGAUAAAUUCAGCAAGCAACAGAAGAAUAUGAUGUAGCCCAAACUAAAUGUUGAUUCAUGGAUA
This 1249-nucleotide long non-coding RNA is filed under the name Elaeis guineensis (African oil palm). Its description in RNAcentral is "long non-coding RNA (EGUI_LNC074739)". The record is from RNAcentral. Lineage: Eukaryota; Viridiplantae; Streptophyta; Magnoliopsida; Arecales; Arecaceae.